UACUUUUUUCGCCCAGGCGGCGCUCGACCGCGAACUGAAGAAAUAAAUACCUACAUUGAUCAGCAUCGGAAUCUGUAUGGGUUGAGCCAAUCUGCAAAAUCCUGCAGGUUACCCCC
This 116-nucleotide non-coding RNA is filed under the name Candidatus Nitrotoga sp. SPKER. Its description in RNAcentral is "ALIL pseudoknot". It matches the Rfam family "ALIL pseudoknot". The record is from RNAcentral. Lineage: Bacteria; Pseudomonadati; Pseudomonadota; Betaproteobacteria; Nitrosomonadales; Gallionellaceae.